This is a small nucleolar RNA of Rattus norvegicus (Norway rat), 129 nucleotides long. Lineage: Eukaryota; Metazoa; Chordata; Mammalia; Rodentia; Muridae. The record is from Ensembl.
UUUGAGGUCUAUCCCGAUGGGGCUUCUCUGGUAGCCACACAUCGUUGGAAACGCCUCGUAUAGUAACUUGUGGUUUUACUUGACUCAUGACUAUUCGUUAGGUCUGUGGGAAGGAACUACAAGACAGCA